UAACUCUUCUGCUGCUCACAUCUUUCCCAUAUAACAAAGUAGUAUCAUCUCUGAAGUCAGCAGCAGCUGGCCUCAUGCCAUUUCAUACCAUUUUCAUGCAGUCAUCUUUUGUUCUGGGGACAAAUGACAAGAGGUUUGAAGAGUUGAUUAUUUGGGACUUGAAGGAGGUUUGACAUGAGAACCUGCAUUUAAAACCACAGAUUGGGCUCUGCUUGCUGGACCCCAGUGGUUGGACUGAGUCCCAUGAAGCCAGAUCACUUCUGACUGCAAGGAGCUUGGAAAAGCAAGUAUCUGGAUCUUUUACCAGCUAAAUUUGGAGAAUUAUUGAUCAAAUUUGGAUCUCUGUGUGCUGUCCUCCAAUUUAAUACUUUCUGUGUUGCUGUUUUAUUUUCUUUCUUCUGGAACCUGGCAAAGUGCGUCAAGCGAUGAGGCUUCCUCUUUGAAGAUCACAGGUGAGAAGAUUAGGUGCUUUCUCAGAAGCCCAGCAACCUGAUGGGAGUGUGGAGUGAGCAAGACCCAAAUCGGAGCUUCAUCCCUGCAUGGUUCAUUUUGCUUAUUUGGCAAACUUGCCCUGCAGAAUCUACUCAAGCUUCCUCAGUUUCUCAAAUCAUUCUUGGGCAACAAAUGAACAAGAAAGAGGACGUCUUAUUAUCUGGUGUCUGGCUUGCUGAUUUAAUAACCUAGGAGACAGU
This 692-nucleotide long non-coding RNA is filed under the name Homo sapiens (human). RNAcentral describes it as "HSALNT0321900". Lineage: Eukaryota; Metazoa; Chordata; Mammalia; Primates; Hominidae. The record is from RNAcentral.